CCUACGGGUGGCAGCAGUGGGGAAUAUUGCACAAUGGGGGAAACCCUGAUGCAGCGACGCCGCGUGAGUGAAGAAGUAUUUCGGUACGUAAAGCUCUAUCAGCAGGGAAGAAAAUGACGGUACCUGACUAAGAAGCCCCGGCUAACUACGUGCCAGCAGCCGCGGUAAUACGUAGGGGACAAGCGUUAUCCGGAUUUACUGGGUGUAAAGGGAGCGUAGACGGCAGCGCAAGUCUGGAGUGAAAUCCCAUGGCUUAACCAUGGAACUGCUUUGGAAACUGUGCAGCUAGAGUGCAGGAGAGGUAAGCGGAAUUCCUAGUGUAGCGGUGAAAUGCGUAGAUAUUAGGAGGAACACCAGUGGCGAAGGCGGCUUACUGGACUGUAACUGACGUUGAGGCUCGAAAGCGUGGGGAGCAAACAGGAUUAGAUACCCCAGUAGUC
This 440-nucleotide ribosomal RNA is filed under the name uncultured bacterium. RNAcentral describes it as "partial 16S ribosomal RNA". It matches the Rfam family "Bacterial small subunit ribosomal RNA", at positions 338 to 795 of the family's 1533-position model. The record is from RNAcentral.